Molecule: long non-coding RNA, 349 nt
Filed under: Oryzias sinensis (Chinese medaka)
Lineage: Eukaryota; Metazoa; Chordata; Actinopteri; Beloniformes; Adrianichthyidae
Description: lncRNA (ENSOSIG00000022403.1)
Source: RNAcentral
CUUUGUCCUCUGGAAUCUCAUCCCUUUGUUGUUACCCUCUAACCAAUCAACGUGCAGCCUUACCCGGGAACGCCCAUAAUCAUCGAGAGCCAGCCAAUCAAAUGAAUUUCUGCAGCAGGACUCCAUUUUGUUGGGUUAUAUGUGCAGUGGACGGGGCGUCCCGCGGCCGCUGGCUGGAACCUGUUGCUUCGCAGUUCCGUGUUGUGCAAUGGACGGCAGUGUCCACCAAGAUUUAACAGUUGGUACUAAGAGAGGAUCUGACGAACUUUUCUCCAGCGUCUCCAACGGCCCGUAUAUCAUGAACACCACAGGUCAGAACACACUCUGUGCACACAAGCAGAAUCCAAAG